This 334-nucleotide unclassified non-coding RNA is filed under the name fungal sp. RNAcentral describes it as "partial internal transcribed spacer region". The stretch from base 1 to 46 matches the Rfam family "Eukaryotic small subunit ribosomal RNA", at positions 1786 to 1831 of the family's 1831-position model. Lineage: Eukaryota; Fungi. The record is from RNAcentral.
AAGUCGUAACAAGGUAACCGUAGGUGAACCUGCGGUUGGAUCAUUAAAAAGAUCGUAAGUCAGGAAUGUUUCUUAACAGGAGCACCCUGCAAACUCUCCGUAACAGGCGAGUCUAAACUAAUCCACAUUUUGUGAACCGUUCUCGUCUCUGGCGGUGGGGUGGCGUCAAAAACCACCUGUCAGCAUCGAGAUAGAGCUCUGCAAUGGAGAUCUAUCUGGGUGCCAUGGACAAGCCGUCAAACACUUGUGACAAACCUUUUACUUUUCUAUGUGUCUAACCUUUGUAUAUUAAACAAUACAAAAACAACUUUUGGCAACGGAUCUCUUGGCUCUC